RNAcentral lists this ribosomal RNA (933 nucleotides) under Eutypella sp. SBL 4. Its description in RNAcentral is "eukaryotic LSU rRNA". The stretch from base 181 to 334 matches the Rfam family "5.8S ribosomal RNA". Lineage: Eukaryota; Fungi; Ascomycota; Sordariomycetes; Xylariales; Diatrypaceae. The record is from RNAcentral.
GCGUCUCUUGUGACGUGCGGGGGUGCUUUUAACGGAGGUGAAGCUGGGACGACCUACCCUGCAGCGAGUUACCCUGUAACGAGUUGCCCUGUAGGGACCUGCCCUGUAGCCUGCCCGCCGGCGGCCAACCUAAACUCUGUUUUAUUGUGGCACUUCUGAGGAUUAUUCUAAAUGAAUUAAAACUUUCAACAACGGAUCUCUUGGUUCUGGCAUCGAUGAAGAACGCAGCGAAAUGCGAUAAGUAAUGUGAAUUGCAGAAUUCAGUGAAUCAUCGAAUCUUUGAACGCACAUUGCGCCCAUUAGUAUUCUAGUGGGCAUGCCUGUUCGAGCGUCAUUUCAACCAUCAAGCCCUAUUUGCUUGGCGUUGGGAGACUUGUAGGCCCGGCCUGCAAGCUCCUGAAAUAGAUCGGCGGAGUCGUGGCGACCCUCAGCGUAGUAAUUCUUCUCGCUUUAGGUGUCGGCGCUGGCGUUUAGCCGUUAAACCCCCUAUUUUUUUAGUCUUGACCUCGGAUCAGGUAGGAAUACCCGCUGAACUUAAGCAUAUCAUAAGCCGGAGGGAACGGUGUCGGAGUUUUCUAACUCCAAACCCUUGAGAACUACCUAGUUGCCUCGGCGGACUUGCCCUGGGACGACCUACCCUGCAACGAGUUUACCUGUAACGAGGUGCCUUGUAGGGACUGCCCUGUAGCCGCCGCCGCGCAACUAAACUCUGUUUUAUUGUGCCUUCUGAGAAUUAUCUAAGAUUAAACUUCACAACGAAUCUCUGGUUCUGGCAUCCAUUAAAAAGCACGAAUGCGAUAGUAAUGUGAAUGCAAAAUAUGAUCUCGAUCUUUGACGCAUUGGCCCAUUAUAUUAAGGCAUGCUGUGAAGCUCAUUCCACUAGCAUAAUUGUCUUGGCUGGAACUUGUAAGCGGCUUGACUGAAAUAAUCGGA